CGGGGUGAGUAAUGCUUGGGAAUCUAGCUUAUGGAGGGGGAUAACUACGGGAAACUGUAGCUAAUACCGCGUAAUAUCGAAAGAUUAAAGUGUGGGACCUUCGGGCCACAUGCCAUAGGAUGAGCCCAAGUGGGAUUAGGUAGUUGGUGAGGUAGAGGCUCACCAAGCCGACGAUCUCUAGCUGGUCUGAGAGGAUGACCAGCCACACUGGGACUGAGACACGGCCCAG
RNAcentral lists this ribosomal RNA (229 nucleotides) under uncultured bacterium. RNAcentral's name for it is "partial 16S ribosomal RNA". It matches the Rfam family "Bacterial small subunit ribosomal RNA", at positions 104 to 334 of the family's 1533-position model. The record is from RNAcentral.